AGAGUUUGAUCCUGGCUCAGGAUGAACGCUGGCGGCGUGCCUACCACAUGCAAGUCGAACGGACCAAAAGGGGCUUGCUCCUAAUGGUUAGUGGCGGACGGGUGAGUAACGCGUGGGUAACCUGCCGUAUACAGGGGGAUAACAGUUAGAAAUGACUGCUAAUACCGCAUAAGCGCACAGCGCCGCAUGGUGCAGUGUGAAAAGCCGAGACGGUAUACGAUGGACCCGCGUCUGAUUAGCCGGUUGGCGGGGUAACGGCCCACCAAAGCAACGAUCAGUAGCCGGCCUGAGAGGGUGGACGGCCACAUUGGGACUGAGACACGGCCCAAACUCCUACGGGAGGCAGCAGUGGGGGAUAUUGCACAAUGGGGGGAACCCUGAUGCAGCGACGCCGCGUGAGUGAAGAAGUAUUUCGGUAUGUAAAGCUCUAUCAGCAGGGAAGAAAAAAGACGGUACCUGAGUAAGAAGCACCGGCUAAAUACGUGCCAGCAGCCGCGGUAAUACGUAUGGUGCAAGCGUUAUCCGGAUUUACUGGGUGUAAAGGGAGCGUAGACGGCAUAACAAGUCUGAAGUGAAAGCCCGGGGCUCAACCGCGGGACUGCUUUGGAAACUGUGAAGCUGGAGUGCAGGAGAGGUAAGCGGAAUUCCUGGUGUAGCGGUGAAAUGCGUAGAUAUCAGGAGGAACACCGGCGGCGAAGGCGGCUUACUGGACUGUAACUGACGUUGAGGCUCGAAGGCGUGGGGAGCAAACAGGAUUAGAUACCCUGGUAGUCCACGCGGUAAACGAUGAUCACUAGGUG
RNAcentral lists this ribosomal RNA (800 nucleotides) under uncultured bacterium. Its description in RNAcentral is "bacterial SSU rRNA". It matches the Rfam family "Bacterial small subunit ribosomal RNA", at positions 8 to 822 of the family's 1533-position model. The record is from RNAcentral.